Molecule: long non-coding RNA, 188 nt
Organism: Nannospalax galili (Upper Galilee mountains blind mole rat)
Lineage: Eukaryota; Metazoa; Chordata; Mammalia; Rodentia; Spalacidae
Exons: 3
Source: RefSeq, a predicted model, not a curated record
AUGUUCUCCCUCAUUUGUGGAUCCUCGCACCAAAUCCUUAUAAUAUGAUGAUAGUCCAUUUCCAGCUUUGCCGUGAACAUUUCUUCCAUACUUAUGCACUGAUAAUGGAAAUACACAAAAGUAUCCCUAGGAUAUACGUCUAGGAACUCAGUGUACCCAUGUUGUGGAAUGCCCAGAAGAGGUCAUUG